ACGGGUGAGUAACGCGUGGGAAUCUACCCAUCCCUACGGAAUAACGCAUGGAAACGUGUGCUAAUACCGUAUACGCCCUACGGGGGAAAGAUUUAUCGGGGAUGGAUGAGCCCGCGUUGGAUUAGCUAGUUGGUGGGGUAAAGGCCUACCAAGGCGACGAUCCAUAGCUGGUCUGAGAGGAUGAUCAGCCACAUUGGGACUGAGACACGGCCCAAACUCCUACGGGAGGCAGCAGUGGGGAAUAUUGGACAAUGGGCGCAAGCCUGAUCCAGCCAUGCCGCGUGAGUGAUGAAGGCCUUAGGGUUGUAAAGCUCUUUCACCGGAGAAGAUAAUGACGGUAUCCGGAGAAGAAGCCCCGGCUAACUUCGUGCCAGCAGCCGCGGUAAUACGAAGGGGGCUAGCGUUGUUCGGAAUUACUGGGCGUAAAGCGCACGUAGGCGGACUUUUAAGUCAGGGGUGAAAUCCCGGGGCUCAACCUCGGAACUGCCUUUGAUACUGGAAGUCUGGAGUAUGGAAGAGGUGAGU
RNAcentral lists this ribosomal RNA (525 nucleotides) under uncultured bacterium. RNAcentral describes it as "bacterial SSU rRNA". It matches the Rfam family "Bacterial small subunit ribosomal RNA", at positions 102 to 662 of the family's 1533-position model. The record is from RNAcentral.